RNAcentral lists this ribosomal RNA (483 nucleotides) under uncultured bacterium. RNAcentral describes it as "partial 16S ribosomal RNA". It matches the Rfam family "Bacterial small subunit ribosomal RNA", at positions 28 to 507 of the family's 1533-position model. The record is from RNAcentral.
GACGAACGCUGGCGGCGUGCUUAACACAUGCAAGUCGAACGCUGAAGCCCUGCUUUUGUUGGGUGGAUGAGUGGCGAACGGGUGAGUAACACGUGAGUAACCUGCCUCCUUCUUUGGGAUAACUCCAGGAAACGGGGGCUAAUACUGGAUAUUCGCUGGUCCUCGCAUGGGGGUGGGUGGAAAGGGUGUUUCUGGGGGGUGAUGGGCUCGCGGCCUAUCAGCUUGUUGGUGGGGUGAUGGGUUAGGAAGUCUUUGACUGGUCGUCGGCCGGGGAGGGUGCCCGGUAACAUGGGCACUGAGAUACGGCCCAGACUACGACGGGGGGCAGCAGUGGGGAAAAUUGCACGAUGGGUGCAAGCAUGAUGCAGCGACGGCGCGGGAGGGAUGGAGGCCGUCGGGUUGUGAACCUCUUUCGCUAAUGGUCAAGCCGCAACAAUGGUUGUGGUGACGGUAGUGGGUAAAGAAGCGCCGGCUAACUACGUG